UUUAUAUCAUACUUAAAUUGGUACUAUAAUUGUAUUCUCCGUUAACUUAAGUUCAUUUCACAUUAUACCUCGUGAAAUUUAACAAAUGCCCUAUCUCCCUUUAGAUGUUCCCCACCGAAAUUUUUUUUUAAAGUAUUAUUUAUUGAUAUGUCUCUCUGUUGUUACGAGAUAAAUAUUAUUAAAAUUAUUAUUAAUUUAAACAUUAUGAGUAUAAAAUAUAAA
Molecule: non-coding RNA, 222 nt
Organism: Cinara cedri
Lineage: Eukaryota; Metazoa; Arthropoda; Insecta; Hemiptera; Aphididae
Source: the annotation of a GenBank genome assembly